This 304-nucleotide ribosomal RNA is filed under the name uncultured bacterium. RNAcentral's name for it is "partial 16S ribosomal RNA". It matches the Rfam family "Bacterial small subunit ribosomal RNA", at positions 506 to 809 of the family's 1533-position model. The record is from RNAcentral.
CAGCAGCAGCCGCGGUAAUACAGAGGGUGCGAGCGUUAAUCGGAUUUACUGGGCGUAAAGCGUGCGUAGGCGGCUUUUUAAGUCGGAUGUGAAAUCCCUGAGCUUAACUUAGGAAUUGCAUUCGAUACUGGGAAGCUAGAGUAUGGGAGAGGAUGGUAGAAUUCCAGGUGUAGCGGUGAAAUGCGUAGAGAUCUGGAGGAAUACCGAUGGCGAAGGCAGCCAUCUGGCCUAAUACUGACGCUGAGGUACGAAAGCAUGGGGAGCAAACAGGAUUAGAUACCCGCGUAGUCCCUGUCUCUUAUAA